GGACGAACGCUGGCGGCGUGCCUAACACAUGCAAGUCGAGCGGGGUUGAAGCGAGAGGUAACUCGAACUUCUACCUAGCGGCGGACGGGUGAGUAACGCGUGGGCAACCUGCCUCAAGGUUUGGGAUAACAGCCCGAAAGGGCUGCUAAUACCGGAUAUGCCUAUGGCCUCGCAUGGGGCUAUGAGCAAAGGGGAAACCCGCCUUGAGAUGGGCCCGCGUCCCAUCAGCUAGUUGGUGAGGUAACAGCUCACCAAGGCGACGACGGGUAGCCGGCCUGAGAGGGUGACCGGCCACACUGGGACUGAGACACGGCCCAGACUCCUACGGGGGGCAGUAGUGGGGGAUCUUGCACAAUGGGCGAAAGCCUGAUCCAGCAACGCCGCGUGCACGAUGAAGGCCUUCGGGUUGUAAAGUGCUUUUAAGGGAGAUGAGAAAGGACAGUAUCCCUUGAAUAAGCCUCGGCGAACUACGUGCCAGCAGCCGCGGUAAAACGUAGGAGGCAAGCGUUAUCCGGAUUUACUGGGCGUAAAGCGCGUGCAGGCUGUUUGGAAAGUUGGAUGUGAAAGCUCCUGGCUUAACUGGGAGAGGUCGUUCAAAACUACCAAGCUAGAGAAUGGGAGAGGGAAGUGGAAUUCCGGGUGUAGCGGUGAAAUGCGUAGAUAUCCGGAGGAACACCAGUGGCGAAAGCGGCUUCCUAGACCAUUUCUGACGCUUAGACGCGAAAGCUAGGGGAGCGAACGGGAUUAGAGACCCCGGUAGUCCUAGCUGUAAACGAUGUAGACUUGGCGUUGGCGGAGUUAAAUCUGCCAGUGCCGGAGCUAACGCGUUAAGUCUACCGCCUGGGGACUACGACCGCAAGGUUAAAACUCAAAGGAAUUGACGGGGACCCGCACAAGCAGCGGAGCGUGUGGUUUAAUUCGAUGCUACACGAAGAACCUUACCAGGGUUUGACAUGCAAGUGGUAGGAAACUGAAAGGGGACCGACCCUUCGGGGAGCUUGCACAGGUGCUGCAUGGCUGUCGUCAGCUCGUGUCGUGAGAUGUUCGGUUAAGUCCGCUAACGAGCGCAACCCUCACUGUGUGUUAUACGUGUCACACGGGACUGCCGGUUUUAAGCCGGAGGAAGGUGGGGAUGACGUCAAGUCAGCACGGCCUUUAUAUCCUGGGCUACACACACGCUACAAUGGCCGGUACAAUAGGUUGCCAAGCCGCGAGGCGGAGCCAAUCCAUUAAAGUCGGCCUCAGUUCAGAUUGUAGGCUGCAACUCGCCUGCAUGAAGACGGAGUUGCUAGUAACCGCAGGUCAGCUAUACUGCGGUGAAUACGUUCCCGGGUCU
Molecule: ribosomal RNA, 1336 nt
Filed under: uncultured bacterium
Lineage: Bacteria
Description: bacterial SSU rRNA
Rfam family: Bacterial small subunit ribosomal RNA
Source: RNAcentral